RNAcentral lists this transfer RNA (82 nucleotides) under Gemmatimonadota bacterium. Its description in RNAcentral is "Gemmatimonadetes bacterium (groundwater metagenome) tRNA-Leu". It matches the Rfam family "tRNA". Rfam says of the family: Transfer RNA (tRNA) molecules are approximately 80 nucleotides in length. Their secondary structure includes four short double-helical elements and three loops (D, anti-codon, and T loops). The record is from RNAcentral. Lineage: Bacteria; Pseudomonadati; Gemmatimonadota.
GCGGACGUGGCGGAAUUGGCAGACGCGCGGGACUUAGGAUCCCGUACUUCACGGUGUGGGGGUUCGAGUCCCCCCGUCCGCA